UUGCCACCAUUUCACGCCCUUUUUUCUUAGAGUGUGAAAGCGAUCCGCGUGAUUCACAUUGCACGCUUUGUGCUGACAUUUCUAGCCUGUUCUACCCACUACGAAUUCAGAUUAGAUCACGACUCAGAUUACUUCGUACUUUACGCCGUUUUCUUACAUUUGUGAGGCUAGAAGACCAGUUGACGAAAGAAGGAACCAUGUCAUCGAAAUACUGCCGACUGCUAGCCGUGAUUCUGAUUGCCCUGGCUGCAUCUACUCAAGCAAAGGUGACUGCGUCUCCGAAACAGUUCUGUUCGCCCAAUGGAGAUGUGUGCUUUGGUCCCUUGGACUGCUGCUCCGGCCAGUGCGUGAACGCCGUCUGCUGUGACGACUACCUGGGCCCUGCCUUUGCGUGUCCCUACGAUUAUUACCCCUUAUAGGCUCUCAUAUGAUCGCUCAUAGAUCACUACCUGUCUCAUCGUGUACAGUCAUCAUCGUGUCCAUUGUCUCUAUCUCUUUUUAAAUCAAAUUGUAUCGGUCAAUAAAAAGUUGUGUUGUUCAAAAG
This is a long non-coding RNA of Ornithodoros turicata, 544 nucleotides long. RefSeq lists it as uncharacterized. NCBI's taxonomy places the organism in Eukaryota, Metazoa, Arthropoda, Arachnida, Ixodida, Argasidae. The record is from RefSeq and is a predicted model, not a curated record. The transcript is spliced from 3 exons.